CGUGAGAUAGAAUUAUGUUCAGCCUGGAGGGACAGAAACCCACAAUAUGGCUGAAACAAGGCUAACACUGAUGUUCUCUUGUGAAUGUAGCCAAUCCGGGGCUGGUGUGGUAGCUCCUCAGUUCUCCAAGACCCAGGCUCCUGCUCUGGUCUUGACUUCGUCACACGUAGGUGGAAUCACAGUUACAUCAGGAUCUCAGGAUGAGGCUCAAGCAUUGUGUUAUAUUUCUGGAUAUACUGUAGUUUGUCAAUGCUCUUCCUAAAAUGUGGGGCCCAGGGCUGGCCCCAACUCUGUUCCAUGGCAGUGAGCACUGUGAGGACAGGGACUGUGUCUGUUCACAGGUGGGGCCAGCUCCACCUCCAGCCAUCAUGUCUGUAUUCUGCCAGGGGGCAGGAGCAAAGGGGAAAAGAAUGACUCUCCCCUUGAGGACACUUUCCAGAAUGGUCACCAUUUCUGCUUACAGCCCAGUGGCCAGAACUCAGUCAAAAGACCACAUCCAGCCUCUGAGAAAUAGUCUAUACUUUGAGCAGCCGUGUGCCCAGUUAAAAUUCAGAGGUAGUUUUGCUGAGGAAGAAUGGAAAUAGAGGGCCACAGGCUGGCUUUGCCAAAUUAUAGCUAAAACAUACUCACCUACAACUUAAAAAGCAUCACUUCAGGGGCUCUGGGUUCAGUUAAAAAGGCAAAGAUGCCAGUAGAUAUUUGUUUUCUAGGCCUGCCGUAACAGCACCACAAACUGAGUGGCUUGAACAUCAGAAACAUUGUCUCACAGUUGUGGAGGCUAGAAGUCUGAGAUCAAGGAAAGAAAGCAUGAUGAUGAUAUUCAGCAAGGAAGGCCCACUAUGUGCCUCAUGACUUUCAAAAGAAUUACGAAGCAGCUGGGGAGACAACACUGAAGAGGACAGAAUUAAACAACACAGCAGUGAGGACAAACAGAAUGUCACUUGUGUGUGGCGAGGAUAGGGCAGGCCGGUGUGAAGUGGAACUCUCCAUUCACAAGACCAGCGAGCAGUCUGGAAUAUAUUUAAGAUAGUGUUGUGUUGAUUCAUCACUGAGAACAUUCUUUUUUAAAAAUUUACUUUAUUGAGGUCACGUUGGUUUAUAACAUUAUAUAAAUUUCAGAUGUGCAUCAUUAUAUUUCAACUUCUGUAUAAACUGCAAUCAUGCCC
Molecule: long non-coding RNA, 1166 nt
Filed under: Equus caballus (horse)
Lineage: Eukaryota; Metazoa; Chordata; Mammalia; Perissodactyla; Equidae
Description: lncRNA (ENSECAG00000057321.1)
Source: RNAcentral